GAUGAAGAACGUAGCGAAAUGCGAUACGUAGUGUGAAUUGCAGAAUUCAGUGAAUCAUCGAAUCUUUGAACGCACAUUGCACCUCUCGGUAUUCCGGGAGGUAUGCCUGUUCGAGCGUCAUUUGUACCCUCAAGCUCUGCUUGGUGUUGGGUGUUUGUUCCGCCUCUGUGUGUGAACUCGCCUCAAAACAAUUGGCAGCCGGCGUACUUGUUUCGGAGCGCAGCACAUUUUGCGAUCCAGAUCAGCGUGCAGCGGCAUCCAAGAAGCCUUAUUUAACGCUCUUGACCUCGGAUCAGGUAGGGAUACCCGCUGAACUUAAGCAUAUCAAUAAGCGGAGGA
This 339-nucleotide unclassified non-coding RNA is filed under the name soil metagenome. RNAcentral's name for it is "partial contains 5.8S ribosomal RNA, internal transcribed spacer 2, and large subunit ribosomal RNA". The stretch from base 1 to 120 matches the Rfam family "5.8S ribosomal RNA", at positions 35 to 154 of the family's 154-position model. The record is from RNAcentral.